This 1074-nucleotide ribosomal RNA is filed under the name Dothideomycetes sp. genotype 194. RNAcentral's name for it is "eukaryotic LSU rRNA". The stretch from base 477 to 1074 matches the Rfam family "Eukaryotic large subunit ribosomal RNA", at positions 1 to 600 of the family's 3401-position model. The record is from RNAcentral. Lineage: Eukaryota; Fungi; Ascomycota; Dothideomycetes.
GAUCAUUAAUUACGAAAGCUAUAGCCCCUUCGGGGGUUAUUGCAUCCACCCUUUGUCUACGUGUACCUCUUGUUGUUUCCUCGGCAGGCUUGCCUGCCGCUAGGAACCCCCAAAACUCUUGUAUUUACAGUAUUAAAAUCUCCGAUAACUAUUUAAAUUAUUACAACUUUCAACAAUGGAUCUCUUGGUUCUGGCAUCGAUGAAGAACGCAGCGAAAUGCGAAAAGUAGUGUGAAUUGCAGAAUUCCGUGAAUCAUCGAAUCUUUGAACGCACAUUGCGCCCCUCGGUAUUCCGUGGGGCAUGCCUGUUCGAGCGUCAUUUACACCCUCAAGCUCUGCUUGGUGUUGGGCGUCUGUCCCGCUUUAUGCGCGGACUCGCCCCAAAGUCAUUGGCAGCGGUCGUGCCAGCUUCUCGCGCAGCACAUUUGCGUUUCUUGAAGUUUGGUGGAUCAGCAUCCAGUAAGCUCUUUUAUGACUUGACCUCGGAUCAGGUAGGGAUACCCGCUGAACUUAAGCAUAUCAAUAAGCGGAGGAAAAGAAACCAACAGGGAUUGCCCUAGUAACGGCGAGUGAAGCGGCAAUAGCUCAAAUUUGAAAUCUGGCUCCUUUUAGGGGUCCGAGUUGUAAUUUGCAGAGGGUGCUUUGGCGUUGGUAGCGGUCUAAGUUCCUUGGAACAGGACAUCGCAGAGGGUGAGAAUCCCGUUUGUGGUCGCAUGCCUUCGCCGUGUAAAGCCCCUUCGACGAGUCGAGUUGUUUGGGAAUGCAGCUCUAAAUGGGAGGUAAAUUUCUUCUAAAGCUAAAUACUGGCCAGAGACCGAUAGCGCACAAGUAGAGUGAUCGAAAGAUGAAAAGCACUUUGGAAAGAGAGUCAAACAGCACGUGAAAUUGUUGAAAGGGAAGCGCUUGCAGCCAGACUUGCCCGUAGUUGCUCACCUAGGCUUUUGCCUGGGGCAUUCUUCUGCGGGCAGGCCAGCAUCAGUUUGGGCGGUCGGAUAAAGGCCUCUGUCAUGUAGCUUCCUUCGGGAAGAACUUAUAGGGGAGGCGAAAUGCGACCAGCCCGGACUGAGGUCCGCGC